This 301-nucleotide ribosomal RNA is filed under the name uncultured bacterium. RNAcentral describes it as "partial 16S ribosomal RNA". It matches the Rfam family "Bacterial small subunit ribosomal RNA", at positions 509 to 807 of the family's 1533-position model. The record is from RNAcentral.
CAGUAGCCGCGGUAAUACGUAGGUGGCAAGCGUUGUCCGGAAUUAUUGGGCGUAAAGCGCGCGCAGGCGGUCUUUUAAGUCUGAUGUGAAAGCCCACGGCUCAACCGUGGAGGGUCAUUGGAAACUGGAGGACUUGAGUGCAGAAGAGGAGAGUGGAAUUCCACGUGUAGCGGUGAAAUGCGUAGAUAUGUGGAGGAACACCAGUGGCGAAGGCGGCUCUCUGGUCUGUAACUGACGCUGAGGCGCGAAAGCGUGGGGAGCAAACAGGAUUAGAUACCCCCGUAGUCCCUGUCUCUUAUAC